AUUUCAUUGGUUUUCAGAUAUUUUUCUACUUUCUCUAGAACUUUAUUCAUUCUGCCAACAGUUUCUUCUAAAUUUACUCCAGUACAGGCCAAUAAGGUAUCAUCUGCAAAUCAGUUGAUGAACUCACAGUCUGUAAAUAAUUGAAUAUCAUUCAGAUACAGAAUGAAUAAUAGGGGACCAAGCACACUACCUUGUGGCACUCCUGU
Leptinotarsa decemlineata (Colorado potato beetle) is the source of this 206-nucleotide long non-coding RNA. The record is from RefSeq and is a predicted model, not a curated record. NCBI's taxonomy places the organism in Eukaryota, Metazoa, Arthropoda, Insecta, Coleoptera, Chrysomelidae.